UCUCCAGAGGGGCAAUCCUUACCUAGUCCUCAUUUAGGAGCCGCAGAGGAAACGGGAGAGAUUCGCAUGGUAUGUGAUUAGUGUCUCUGAAUAAUCAGGGCUUGGAACACUCUGAUUGCUCCCUAUCUGAU
RNAcentral lists this small nucleolar RNA (131 nucleotides) under Sciurus vulgaris (Eurasian red squirrel). RNAcentral describes it as "U8 small nucleolar RNA (ENSSVLG00005007388.1)". It matches the Rfam family "U8 small nucleolar RNA". Rfam says of the family: U8 is a member of the C/D class of snoRNA which contain the C (UGAUGA) and D (CUGA) box motifs. U8 is the RNA component of a small complex (the U8 snoRNP) which is required for accumulation of mature large subunit ribosomal RNAs, 5.8S and 28S rRNAs. Lineage: Eukaryota; Metazoa; Chordata; Mammalia; Rodentia; Sciuridae. The record is from Rfam by way of RNAcentral.